Alexandromys fortis (reed vole) is the source of this 756-nucleotide long non-coding RNA. RefSeq lists it as uncharacterized. The record is from RefSeq and is a predicted model, not a curated record. Lineage: Eukaryota; Metazoa; Chordata; Mammalia; Rodentia; Cricetidae. The transcript is spliced from 3 exons.
GUGCUUGCCUGGCAUGCAUGAAGUCCUGAGAGCUACCCCCAGCAUUGCAUAAACCAGGACACAGGAGGAUCAAGAGUUCAGAGGUCACAAGGGCCUGUUCCACAAAGUUUUUGCGCUACUCUACUGGCACAACAGAUCCGUUCCCACCAUGCCUGAUCCGCAGCCUGACGUGUCCUUGUCCCCCGCGUGGUCAGAUCUGCAGGUGUUUUAGGGGUUGACGGAGGAUGACGUUGGAGAAGUCUGGCACACUGCCCCACACUCGUUUCUGUUUACCGAGACGACCUGCGGGGAAAGGUAUCAAUGGUGACACGGAGUCUGCAUGAAUCCCGAGGCUAGAUCUCCAGGCAGCCGUGGCUAUGGCUGGCCUAUCAUGGCAGGAAUCCUUCCGACUACAGCUGCUUUGCGCACCCAGGAUGGCAGUGGCCAGCUGAGAAAUUUCAAUGAGAGUCUGCCUCCACAGCUCUCACCUCUGUCGGCCCCUUCACUCCUCCACCCACCUCUCAGUGAGGGAGCCCUCCUGUUUUCUUCACUGAGCCACAGCCUUGAAAGAGCCCUGUGGAUGGCCCCAGGGCCUUCCCAGCUCCCAGCCAGCUGGGCAGAGCCAAGAUAAGGCUGAAAAGAUCCCGGAGGUCACAAUCAUCUGAACCGGAUUCACUUUGUUCCUCCUGCAAAGUAGGGCAUGGUGGCGCCUCUGCACGGGGCCUGUUAGUGUGGAAUUCAUCGCAUCUAGCGAAAGUGAAAAUAAAACAAAAUGAA